This is a long non-coding RNA of Pteropus alecto (black flying fox), 2015 nucleotides long. RefSeq lists it as uncharacterized. The record is from RefSeq and is a predicted model, not a curated record. The transcript is spliced from 2 exons. Lineage: Eukaryota; Metazoa; Chordata; Mammalia; Chiroptera; Pteropodidae.
GGGCGGGAUCUAGGCGAAGUUAGGUGGGGCGAAGCCGUUGGCUCUGGGACGCUAGGGAAACCGAAACCUUCCUCUGGAUUGGGUCUCCGCCGGCGUCUGGCCGAAAGUGUAUCCGGGUCCAGGACGCGGAGGGAGGCAACGUGGAUAACUCUGAAACCAAGGCAACAGCUAUCCAAGAAUUAAUGACUUUGGAGACCUGAGCUUUAUCAGGAUGAAUGAAUAUGGAAGUCCUCAAGCCUCCCCAACUUUGCCUCCCUUUCCACACUGCUCUCUGCCUCUGCCAGGAGAGCCCAGCCUCCACACCUCCCUCCUCCCUUUCCCCAUCCCACCAUCCUAAGGCAGAUUGCCCAGGUUGAAGGCCGGAGGUAAAUAGCUGAGCAAUGCCAUAUGUGCCUCAAGAGCAUGGUUUUGAGUACCAAGUUCUUAAUGGUACUCAAAACUAAAAAUAAGUCAGUGGUUCACCUCAGAGGUUACUAGGGAACGAAUUCGUUAUUUUAAAAACAAUGAGGAAAAGAAUCAAGCAUUUAUUCUGUCUUUUUUACAUGGGCUCCUCAGGGCUACCAAAUAGUUGAUGGGGGAAGUAUCUCUCUGUAGAGUAUUUCAGUUAAUCGAAGACAGAGGCAAUCAAAAUUUCAUCAUUUUUAUUAUUUUUAAACUUUAAAGGCUUAAUAGAUCCUAAGGAUUGAUCAUCAAUGGCUGCUAAUAUCACUAAAAGAAAACCAGCUAUUUUAUGCCUCAUGAUGGAAGAACACACCACUUCCUAUGAAGUAUUCUUGCUAAAAAAUAGAAUUUGAAUCUGGAUGUGACUACCAUUUUAUAAGAAAUGCAAAAGAACAUCUUUAAAUAUUCGGAAGAAGCUUGAAUGACCCAUGUGAUAGUGGAUCAAGUUGGAGAUAUCAGUCUGAAUUUGUGUUUAACUUAAUUCAGAUACAGAUGGUUACACAUAAAAAAAAAAUAUAUAUAUAUAUAUAUCUCUUAAGACACUGUACAUGUAUAUUUCUUUGCCCUGUCACCUGAAGGGACCUAAAAGGAAUGAUACCCCAGUAUCAAUAAGCAUACCCACUGCCCAGAUCUUGAUUUCUAAUACCAUUUUCCAGUAAAACAAACAAACAAACAAAAAUUCCUUGGAAGAAUGGCCGAUUCAAGCACUGGAGCAGGAAAUAUACAGGAUGAAAACAUGAUGAGACUGGAGCAUCUUGUGAUUCCAGAAAGUAAGGAAGUAUACCUAAUGGGAAAAAAAGUAUUGAUGGGAGCAUGUGAAAGGAACAGGGACACAGGAGCCUACUGAGUGAGUUCUCAAUGGCCAAAGCCGAAACAGUUUGAGCAAAAAAUUAAUAAUAAAGUUAUAUUAGAUCAUAACUUAAAGUAUAAAAUAUCUACAGGUUCCUACUGAUAUAAAUAAUGAAUAAAGAAAUAAGUGGGUGAGAAGAGACAAUUCUCCCAUGCAGAAAAGUUUGAAAUAACGUAGAUACUCUGCCCUCAAGGAGGUAAAGCAUAGCUGUUAACCCCUUAGUGUGGGUUGUGAAUAGUGACUUCCUUCCAAAGAGGACAAUAUGGAAAGAGGUGUAUGUGUAUGUGUUUGGGGGUAGCGGGGCACGAUUUGUAACUUUGUGGGGGAAUCUGACAAACAUUACUUUAGCCAGGUGACCAAGGUCAACAUCAACAGUAAUAAGUCAUGUUGAUAGUAUAUGUACCCUUGAUAUGAUGUAAUGAAUAGGGUACUUAACUAUAUUUGUGGUCUUCCUCCCAAAAUGACGUAACCCCAGUUCAAUCAUGAAAAAAAAGCAUUACGUAAAUUCUAAAAGAGAGACAUUCUAAAAAAUACCUGACCAGCAUCCCUCAAAACUAUUAAGGUGAGCAAACACAAGGAAAGCCUAAGAAACUGUCACAACAAAGAGGACCCUAAGGAGUCAUGACUAAAUGUAAUGCAGUAUCCCGGGUGGGAUCCUGGGUCAGAGAAAGGACUUCAGAUAAAAGCCAAGGAAAUCUGAAUAAAAUAUGGACUUCGAUUAAUA